CCCUCUCCCUGUUCCUUUCUCUCUCACUCUCAAUUCCUCUCCCUCUCUCUUUUUGCAAGCUGCAAGCCUAUAAUAACAGGUUUCAAGGUUGCCAGCACUGCAGAAGCACCUUUGUACGGGAAGACGGAAUAAAAGGGCUGGAGGUGACCUUGAAGAAGAAGCUUGAAGACAGAUGGUGGUCAAGAUACGCAGACAAGAAGGAGGGGGUAUAUUAACACAUUCUGGUCUGCUGGGUUGGCAGCAAGGAAGAUGUCUUGCCAUUUUUAUGCCACUUACAUCCAGGCAGCUCCAUGUGAUGAUCUCCGUUGUGGAAUUAGUGCAUGUGAUAUCUCUGUAUGAAGGGAGGAGGCAUCAAGAAAAUUAAUUGUUGUUGAUGAUUCUCAAAUUUGUCCUGGAAACUGGACUGAGGGAAACAGAUGUCUGACCAGAUGCAAGGCAUGUGUUGGCUUUAGUGGAGUUAAGCUGCUAGUAUCCCUGCAUAUGGACAAAGGCUAAGAACUGAUACUACUAGCACAAAGGAUAAGCUUCUCUAGGAAGCAAUCCCAGAUUCAGGUUUGUUUGGUUUGUUUUGUUUUGUUUUUCCCAACAUGCUGUGAGUAUCCUUUUGACUACAUAUCAUUUCUGAGUUGUUUCCAAAACAGUGGACACUUAACUAAAG
Molecule: long non-coding RNA, 658 nt
Filed under: Phascolarctos cinereus (koala)
Lineage: Eukaryota; Metazoa; Chordata; Mammalia; Diprotodontia; Phascolarctidae
Description: lncRNA (ENSPCIG00000036124.1)
Source: RNAcentral